UUGUUAGCUGAUGUUUUAGAACAAAAAAAUUAAAUAAUAUAAAUAUUCAACAUGUAAUGCCCAUUAUUAUUCACAGCGACAUGUAGUCCCCAUUAAGAUUCACAAUGAUCAGUGACAUGCGUUGCAUCUGUAUCUAAAAUUUGAAUAUUCUUCACAGGUUCAUUUAAAGGUUGCUCUUCUGUGCUGCUUUCUACAUUGCUCGGUUAUUUAAGAUAGUUGCUAUAAUGCAAUCUUAAAUAAUCUUGAUUUACAAUUAUACAUGUAAUCAUGACCGUUUCGGGAUUCUAUAUUAUCAGCUAAUGACGAUUUUGCCUUACUUGGAUCUUGAUUAAUUUAUCUUUUUAUUGUAAAUUUAUUUAUAAUAAAAAGAUAAAUUGCGGAACAAUCAGGAUCCAAGCAAGGCAAAAGUCAUUAGCUGAUGAUAUAGAAUUCCGAAACGCUCAUAAUUACAUGUAUAAUUGUAAAUCAAGAUUAUUUAAGAUAAUUGCAUUAUUGCAACUAUCUUAAAUAAUCGAGUAGUGCAGAAAGUAACACAGAAGAGUUAUCAUUGCAACAAAAUGGCAACAAAGUCGCCAUCAGCUUAGAAUCCUUUUAAUUUCCGAAAUAUUUUUUAUGACUUGUUUCAUUUUUGAAUUUCAACAUUUUCGCCAUUUUAUUUACAUCUUUUUUCGCCUUUCUAAUAAUAAUUUCGUGGGGCCUAUAUGUUGAAUACUUGUAGUAUAUUAUUUUUAUUGACACGUAGCAUUUAAUAAUUGGUCUUCGUAUUACUAUGUUCCAAGUAUAAACUAAUUUGUAUAUCUUUUUUUUAACUAAUGUUUUUUAACUAAUACAAUAUUGUAUUAUUUUAUAUUCUCUUAAUACAAAAGUUAUAUCUCACUGCAAAUUUUCAUCAAAUCCAUGAGUGAUAUUUAAACUUUAGAUACAAGUUUCCAUCGCCACUUGUAUCUGGUAUAAAUUUAUCUGUACAUACUUAUAAUGGUAGAAUUUUACUAAACUACUUUGAGUAGCAACUGUGUCUGAUCAUAAAGAAAAAAAAUUUGAGAAGAUUGAUACAGCAAAUGAGAGUUAUUUUUAGGAAACUGAGACAAAACAAGUCAGAAGACAAACGAAUGAUUAAUAUAAAAUAAGAUAAAUUAUUCCAUGUAUAUCGGAUUAUGAUAUUCUUGAAUAUUAUUUCUGUAUUUGUAAUUUUUGAUAGAAAAUAUCUUUGUAUAGUUUUAAUAAUUUA
Non-coding RNA from Nylanderia fulva, 1228 nucleotides. NCBI's taxonomy places the organism in Eukaryota, Metazoa, Arthropoda, Insecta, Hymenoptera, Formicidae. The record is from RefSeq and is a predicted model, not a curated record.